This is a long non-coding RNA of Cryptotermes secundus, 1383 nucleotides long. RefSeq lists it as uncharacterized. The transcript has 2 exons. The record is from RefSeq and is a predicted model, not a curated record. Lineage: Eukaryota; Metazoa; Arthropoda; Insecta; Blattodea; Kalotermitidae.
UUGUCAUUCAUGACGUCCAUGACUUUCAUGACCGUUCAUGACGACGGUCAAAUUUUCGAAUCGACUACAAAUUUGGCAGUAUUGUUCGCAUUAUAAGGCAAUGUCUUGUAUGUUUUAACGCUGAAUCUCAUAAAUUCAUAAAACACACAGAAAGGGGACUUCAAAUUGCUCUUUUUAUCAAGAGUUUAAUAAAUAAAGUAUUCUGACAUGAUGACUAGAAGCCGGAAUUCUUCAGUGAGAAGAAACAUCCAUUGCUACGUUAAGGCAAUAACACAUGGCGGUGUCACUAGGCGAGCGUUCGUUGCAGAAUGACCGGUAACCACCUUUUGAUUGAUGCAACAAAAAGAGUUGUUGGAACAGCUCUCCUUAGUGAGUUGUGAGACGGUUGUCAGCAGUAAGGACAUGAACAUGGAAGCUGAGGAAGGUAUGGUGUUAAAGCCGUUACCAGGCGACAACCAGUGAAGCUACAGCAGAAUGAGAAGACUUUGUGCAUGCUGUAGUGAAUUGUGUGUGAAUUAGUGACAGCGCUACAGGUACUGUAAGUAAUCUGUAAUCUGUAAAUUAGUACCUCCAACGAUGAGCUUCUGGCAGUUGUCCAGCAGUGGCGCCGGGAUACCCCCAAAGAAUGGUUUGCUGUGCAAAUACUGAAACUGCUAGAAUGAUGGCAGAGGUGCAUAGACAUUGGUGGGGAAUACCUCUAAUAUAAUCUGUAUGUACUUUGUUCCAGUAAAUGGUUACUGCGAAGAAAAAACAUUUAGUGUCAAUCAUUUUUGAACACCCCUAGUAAUACAUAUAAAAUGAUCAAUGAAGGAAAUAAUAAGGUGGCAAUAAUUACAUGAGGAGCUUUGCAGUUUGUAUUCUUCGCUUUGUGGAUAAAGGUUAUAAAAUUGAGGAUGAGAUGGAUAGGAUAUGAGGAAUUAAAGCUGCAUAUAAAAUUAAUCUUGAAAGUGACAGCAUAUGAGUAUGUAGCAUGGUGAAUCUCUUACUGAUUAUCUGUUAAAGGCUCAAGAAGACUACACUGUGUAGUUUAGUUAUUCAUUUAUUGUUAUAUAUGCAUAAUUGAAGGUUACAAUGGCCCUAAUACAAAUUGCAUCUUCGGUGACUCAACAACUGCUGGUCUCUCUGUCACACGCAGUGAGUUGAGAAAUAUUACUUGAACCACUAUAAUGAUAAUUCAGGUUUCUUCAAGUAGCUCCUGUGACUGAUGAAUUCAUUGCUCACAAUGUCAUUUGGAUGUUUUAUAGCAAAAUUAAAAAUAAGCUUAUGUACUACAAUAUAUCCAAAUGCCUGUGUAAUUUGAUAUGGAACACAAAGUUUUAGAUCCUUAAUAAUUUCUAUAUAUACAGGGAUCCAUCUGCUGGGCCUAGAUAAUGAAGUGAUAUU